Molecule: transfer RNA, 76 nt
Filed under: Clostridium pasteurianum BC1
Lineage: Bacteria; Bacillati; Bacillota; Clostridia; Eubacteriales; Clostridiaceae
Description: tRNA-Lys (CTT) (tRNA-Lys-CTT-2-1)
Rfam family: tRNA
About the family: Transfer RNA (tRNA) molecules are approximately 80 nucleotides in length. Their secondary structure includes four short double-helical elements and three loops (D, anti-codon, and T loops).
Source: RNAcentral
GCGUUUUUAGCUCAGUUGGUAGAGCACCUGACUCUUAAUCAGGGUGCCCAGGGUUCGAGUCCCUGAAGGCGCACCA